UAUGAAGGAGUUCAGACUGGGACAUCUGUUAUCCCAUUGAUUAUCAGGGUUAAUUUGACUGAUAGGGUGGUCUGUCGGGGGGUAGGGGGAUAUUUCCUCUUCCUGCAUCAUUCCUCCAUAGGCAUCCUCCCUCAGUCAAAUAGAAUGACCUAUCCAAAAGUAGAGGAUAUUCUUUGGUCAAGAGUAUAAGAAUGGUAGACCUCCUUUGCUGAAAUGUCCAAGCUGCGUCUAAUGUGUACUGCAGUAUU
Unclassified non-coding RNA from Panthera pardus (leopard), 248 nucleotides. Its record names the gene 7SK. It matches the Rfam family "7SK RNA". From Rfam's summary of the family: 7SK was discovered as an abundant small nuclear RNA in the mid-70s but a possible function has only recently been suggested. Lineage: Eukaryota; Metazoa; Chordata; Mammalia; Carnivora; Felidae. The record is from Ensembl.